CCCCUGCUCACUUGAGUGAUAGAACCCGUUGACCUAUUAGUUCACCAGUUGGCACCGUUAUGAAUGUGCAGUAAGGAGUCCUCCAAGGGUCUGAUGGAUGUUGGUGAUGACAGCCUUGAUCGGCGAUCUCGUGGCUCAGACGUUCCAUGUGGCCCUCGGCGUUGUUCAGCGCAGCUCUCUUGUUAGAUGUGAUCAGCUUGGCCAUCUCCUGCUGCAUCCUCUCGAUGGAGCGCAUCAUGUCACUGAACAUCUUCUCACACUCCUGCAGUGCUCUCUGGGCUGAAGUCUGCACAGGAAACAUGAAUGUCACUAUUAAUCAACUGGGCGUCACAUCGGUUUCACUUAGCACAAUACGAGACACUGUCAUCGCCCUGACAUGGAGGAAUGCUGUCUGAGCUGGUGGUUACAUUAACUUUCCAUUCAGUCUGAAGUGGUUUGUCUGGUCUUAUCUGUCUGAUGGAUGGUUAGGGGAACAAACCUUGAGUGAAUCCACAGCUUGUUUCAUUUCCUCCAUCUGCUUGAGUCGGUCAUGAAUCUUCUCCUGUAUCUCUGCCUGAGUAACACCCAGACGUUGCUAUGAGGAAAACAACAGAAACAUUGUUGGUAAGAAGAUAAAAAUACCACAAAUAAAUCAAUCCAUCCCUUU
This is a long non-coding RNA of Cheilinus undulatus (humphead wrasse), 646 nucleotides long. RefSeq lists it as uncharacterized. Lineage: Eukaryota; Metazoa; Chordata; Actinopteri; Labriformes; Labridae. The transcript is spliced from 3 exons. The record is from RefSeq and is a predicted model, not a curated record.